This 468-nucleotide ribosomal RNA is filed under the name uncultured bacterium. RNAcentral describes it as "partial 16S ribosomal RNA". It matches the Rfam family "Bacterial small subunit ribosomal RNA", at positions 28 to 507 of the family's 1533-position model. The record is from RNAcentral.
GACGAACGCUGGCGGCGUGCUUAACACAUGCAAGUCGAACGGAAAGGCCCUGCUGUUGUGGGGUGCUCGAGUGGCGAACGGGUGAGUAACAAGUGAGUAACCUGCCCUUGACUUUGGGAUAACUUCAGGAAACUGGGGUUAAUACCGGAUAGGAGCUCCUGCUGCAUGGUGGGGGUUGGAAAGUUUCGGCGGUUGGGGAUGGACUCGCGGCUUAUCUGCUUGUGGGUGGGGUUGUGGCUUACCAAGGCUUUGACGGGUAGCCGGCCGGGGAGGGGGACCGGCCACAUUGGGACUGGGAAACGGCCCGGACUCCUAGGGAGGGCAGCGGGGGGGAAUAUUGCACAAGGGGCGGAAGCCGGAUGCAGCAACGCCGCGGGCGGGAUGACGGCCUUCGGUUGGUAAACCGCUUCCGCCUGGGACGAAGCGGGAGUGACGGUAAUUGGUAAAGAAGCACCGGCUAACUACGUG